Transfer RNA from Aspergillus versicolor CBS 583.65, 100 nucleotides. It matches the Rfam family "tRNA". From Rfam's summary of the family: Transfer RNA (tRNA) molecules are approximately 80 nucleotides in length. The record is from Rfam. NCBI's taxonomy places the organism in Eukaryota, Fungi, Ascomycota, Eurotiomycetes, Eurotiales, Aspergillaceae.
GCACCAAUGGUUUAGUGGUAUGACACGACUCUCCCAAAAAGGAAAUAUUUUCCCGAUUAGUGGUCAAGUCGAGACCCGGGUUCGAACCCCGGUUGGUGCA